This 720-nucleotide ribosomal RNA is filed under the name uncultured bacterium. RNAcentral's name for it is "bacterial SSU rRNA". It matches the Rfam family "Bacterial small subunit ribosomal RNA", at positions 56 to 794 of the family's 1533-position model. The record is from RNAcentral.
UGCAGUCGAGCGGUAAGGCCUUUCGGGGUACACGAGCGGCGAACGGGUGAGUAACACGUGGGUGAUCUGCCCUGCACUUCGGGAUAAGCCUGGGAAACUGGGUCUAAUACCGGAUAUGACCUCAGGUUGCAUGACUUGGGGUGGAAAGAUUUAUCGGUGCAGGAUGGGCCCGCGGCCUAUCAGCUUGUUGGUGGGGUAAUGGCCUACCAAGGCGACGACGGGUAGCCGACCUGAGAGGGUGACCGGCCACACUGGGACUGAGACACGGCCCAGACUCCUACGGGAGGCAGCAGUGGGGAAUAUUGCACAAUGGGCGAAAGCCUGAUGCAGCGACGCCGCGUGAGGGAUGACGGCCUUCGGGUUGUAAACCUCUUUCAGCAGGGACGAAGCGCAAGUGACGGUACCUGCAGAAGAAGCACCGGCUAACUACGUGCCAGCAGCCGCGGUAAUACGUAGGGUGCAAGCGUUGUCCGGAAUUACUGGGCGUAAAGAGUUCGUAGGCGGUUUGUCGCGUCGUUUGUGAAAACCAGCAGCUCAACUGCUGGCUUGCAGGCGAUACGGGCAGACUUGAGUACUGCAGGGGAGACUGGAAUUCCUGGUGUAGCGGUGAAAUGCGCAGAUAUCAGGAGGAACACCGGUGGCGAAGGCGGGUCUCUGGGCAGUAACUGACGCUGAGGAACGAAAGCGUGGGUAGCGAACAGGAUUAGAUACCCUGGUAGA